RNAcentral lists this ribosomal RNA (564 nucleotides) under uncultured bacterium. Its description in RNAcentral is "bacterial SSU rRNA". It matches the Rfam family "Bacterial small subunit ribosomal RNA", at positions 777 to 1339 of the family's 1533-position model. The record is from RNAcentral.
AAUAGAUACCCAGGUAGUCCACGCCGUAAACGAUGAGUGCUAGGUGUCCGGGGUAUCGACCCCCCGGGUGCCGCCGCCAACGCAGUAAGCACUCCGCCUGGGGAGUACGGCCGCAAGGUUGAAACUCAAAGGAAUUGACGGGGGCCCGCACAAGCGGUGGAGCAUGUGGAUUAAUUCGUCACUAACCGAAGAACCUUACCCAGGCUUGACAUCGAGGGUAAGCCGGUGAAAGCCGGCCCUCCCGCAAGGGACCCGAAGACAGGUGUUGCAUGGCUGUCGUCAGCCCGUGUCGUGAGAUGUUGGGUUAAGUCCCGCAACGAGCGCAACCCUUAUCCCUAGUUGCCAUCGGGUCAAGCCGGGCACUCUAGUGAAACCGCCCCGGAUAACGGGGAGGAAGGUGGGGAUGACGUCAAGUCCUCAUGCCCCUUAUGUCCAGGGGCUACAAGCGUGCUACAAUGGCCGGUACAAAGGGCUGCAAGACCGUGAGGUGGAGCGAAUCCCAAAAGCCGGUCCCAGUUCGGAUUGGAGGCUGAAACUCGCCUCCAUGAAGUAGGAGUUGCUAGU